GACAGAGGGUGCGAACGUUGCUCGGAAUCAUCGGGCGUAAAGCGCGUGUAGGCGGCAUCGCACGUCGGGUGUGAAAGCCCGGGGCUCAACCCCGGCAGUGCACCCGAAACGACGAUGCUAGAGUGCUGGAGAGGCGGGUGGAAUUCCUGGCGUAGAGGUGAAAUUCGUAGAUAUCAGGAGGAACACCGGUGGCGAAGGCGACCCGCUGGCCAGCGACUGACGCUGAGACGCGAAAGCGUGGGGAGCAAACAGG
RNAcentral lists this ribosomal RNA (253 nucleotides) under uncultured bacterium. RNAcentral's name for it is "partial 16S ribosomal RNA". It matches the Rfam family "Bacterial small subunit ribosomal RNA", at positions 524 to 776 of the family's 1533-position model. The record is from RNAcentral.